CGUAGGUGGCAAGCGUUGUCCGGAUUUAUUGGGCGUAAAGCGAGUGCAGGCGGUCUUUUAAGUCUGAUGUGAAAGCCUUCGGCUUAACCGAAGAAGGGCAUCGGAAACUGGGAGACUUGAGUGCAGAAGAGGAGAGUGGAACUCCAUGUGUAGCGGUGAAAUGCGUAGAUAUAUGGAAGAACACCAGUGGCGAAGGCGGCUCUCUGGUCUGUAACUGACGCUGAGGCUACGAAAGCGGUGGGUAGA
Molecule: ribosomal RNA, 246 nt
Filed under: uncultured bacterium
Lineage: Bacteria
Description: partial 16S ribosomal RNA
Rfam family: Bacterial small subunit ribosomal RNA
Source: RNAcentral